GCUUAACACUGCAAGUCGAGGGGUAACAGGAGUGCUUGCACUCGCUGACGACCGGCGCACGGGUGCGUAACGCGUAUAGAACCUACCUUUUACUGAGGGAUAGCCUUUAGAAAUGAAGAUUAAUACCUCAUGGUAUUGCAAUUUGGCAUCAGAUUGUAAUUAAAGAUUUAUUGGUAAAAGAUGGCUAUGCGUCUUAUUAGCUAGAUGGUAAGGUAACGGCUUACCAUGGCAACGAUAAGUAGGGGCCCUGAGAGGGGGAUCCCCCACACUGGUACUGAGACACGGACCAGACUCCUACGGGAGGCAGCAGUGAGGAAUAUUGGGCAAUGGAGGCAACUCUGACCCAGCCAUGCCGCGUGCAGGAAGACUGCCCUAUGGGUUGUAAACUGCUUUUAUACAGGAAGAAACACACCUACGUGUAGGUGCUUGACGGUACUGUAAGAAUAAGCACCGG
This 454-nucleotide ribosomal RNA is filed under the name uncultured Flavobacteriaceae bacterium. Its description in RNAcentral is "bacterial SSU rRNA". It matches the Rfam family "Bacterial small subunit ribosomal RNA", at positions 46 to 496 of the family's 1533-position model. The record is from RNAcentral. Lineage: Bacteria; Pseudomonadati; Bacteroidota; Flavobacteriia; Flavobacteriales; Flavobacteriaceae.